RNAcentral lists this ribosomal RNA (253 nucleotides) under uncultured bacterium. RNAcentral's name for it is "partial 16S ribosomal RNA". It matches the Rfam family "Bacterial small subunit ribosomal RNA", at positions 524 to 776 of the family's 1533-position model. The record is from RNAcentral.
UACGGGGGGGGCAAGCGUUGUUCGGAAUUACUGGGCGUAAAGGGCUCGUAGGCGGCCAACUAAGUCAGACGUGAAAUCCCCAGGCUUAACCUGGGAACUGCGUCUGAUACUGGAUGGCUUGAAUUCGGGAGAGGGAUGCAGAAUUCCAGGUGUAGCGGUGAAAUGCGUAGAUACCUGGAGGAAUACCGGUGGCGAAGGCGGCAUCCUGGACCGACAUUGACGCUGAGGAGCGAAAGCUAGGGGAGCAAACGGG